Saccostrea echinata is the source of this 146-nucleotide long non-coding RNA. RefSeq lists it as uncharacterized. NCBI's taxonomy places the organism in Eukaryota, Metazoa, Mollusca, Bivalvia, Ostreida, Ostreidae. The record is from RefSeq and is a predicted model, not a curated record. The transcript has 3 exons.
UUUCUCGUUACCUGCCAAGUCUACAAAGGUGAGUUUCCCUCGUUUUGUGAGGUACAGAUUUUCAUCGUCAGGGUCCUGCUGUUCUGUGUCUAUGGUCAGGGUCAGCAUGCUGUGGCUUCUACUGGAGAACUCAUUCAGACCGUGAG